CUGAGGUGUUUGUGGCAGAUUGCUGCAGUGCCAGCGUGGUUCAGCUCCCUGAGCAGAAUUCCAGGGACAGGGAGGGGCUCCUCCCCUGGCAGCCAGCAGGACAGGCAGCACAGCAGGUCCUGAGCAUCCUUGGCCAGGGCUGUGCUCCUCCCUCCAGGUGUGUGGGUCACUGUGGCUGCUCAUCUUGUGCUGCCCCUGCCGUGUGGCUGCCCCUCCCCAGCACAAAACUUGCUGGGGGAGCUUUGAGAAGGAGCUUUCCUGCGCUCCCAGCAGUGCCUGUGGGACGGAGCUGGGUGUUCCAGGAGCUCUGGGAGGUGUCCCAGGGCUGUGGCACUCCAGAAGGAAGGCAGCACAUGGGGACAGGCAGCCCAAAGUCAGCU
This is a long non-coding RNA of Ficedula albicollis (Collared flycatcher), 380 nucleotides long. RefSeq lists it as uncharacterized. The transcript is spliced from 3 exons. NCBI's taxonomy places the organism in Eukaryota, Metazoa, Chordata, Aves, Passeriformes, Muscicapidae. The record is from RefSeq and is a predicted model, not a curated record.